RNAcentral lists this ribosomal RNA (468 nucleotides) under uncultured bacterium. Its description in RNAcentral is "partial 16S ribosomal RNA". It matches the Rfam family "Bacterial small subunit ribosomal RNA", at positions 28 to 507 of the family's 1533-position model. The record is from RNAcentral.
GACGAACGCUGGCGGCGUGCUUAACACAUGCGAGUCGAACGGAAAGGCCCUGCUUUUGUGGGGUGCUCGAGUGGCGAACGGGUGAGUAACACGUGAGUAACCUGCCCUUGACUUUGGGAUAACUUCAGGAAACUGGGGCUAAUACCGGAUAGGAGCUCCUGCUGCAUGGUGGGGGUUGGAAAGUUUCGGCGGUUGGGGAUGGACUCGCGGCUUAUCAGCUUGUUGGUGGGGUAGUGGCUUACCAAGGCUUUGACGGGUAGCCGGCCUGAGAGGGUGACCGGCCACAUUGGGACUGAGAUACGGCUCAGACUCCUACGGGAGGCAGCAGUGGGGAAUAUUGCACAAUGGGCGGAAGCCUGAUGCAGCAACGCCGCGUGCGGGAUGACGGCCUUCGGGUUGUAAACCGCUUUCGCCUGUGACGAAGCGUGAGUGACGGUAAUGGGUAAAGAAGCACCGGCUAACUACGUG